Molecule: ribosomal RNA, 253 nt
Filed under: uncultured bacterium
Lineage: Bacteria
Description: partial 16S ribosomal RNA
Rfam family: Bacterial small subunit ribosomal RNA
Source: RNAcentral
UACGUAGGGGGCGAGCGUUGUCCGGAAUCAUUGGGCGUAAAGAGCGUGUAGGCGGUCCGGUAAGUCCGCUGUGAAAGUCGGGGGCUCAACCCUCGAAUGCCGGUGGAUACUGUCGGGCUAGAGUGCGGAAGAGGCGAGUGGAAUUCCUGGUGUAGCGGUGAAAUGCGCAGAUAUCAGGAGGAACACCUACUGCGAAGGCAGCUCGCUGGGACGUAACUGACGCUGAGACGCGAAAGCGUGGGGAGCAAACAGG